Molecule: ribosomal RNA, 253 nt
Filed under: uncultured bacterium
Lineage: Bacteria
Description: partial 16S ribosomal RNA
Rfam family: Bacterial small subunit ribosomal RNA
Source: RNAcentral
UACGUAGGGGGCAAGCGUUGUCCGGAUUUAUUGGGCGUAAAGAGCGUGUAGGCGGCUAGGUAGGUCCGUUGUGAAAACUCGAGGCUCAACCUCGAGACAUCGAUGGAAACCAUCUAGCUAGAGUCCGGAAGAGGAGAGUGGAAUUCCUGGUGUAGCGGUGAAAUGCGCAGAUAUCAGGAGGAACACCAAUGGCGAAGGCAGCACUCUGGGACGGUACUGACGCUGAGACGCGAAAGCGUGGGGAGCAAACAGG